RNAcentral lists this ribosomal RNA (484 nucleotides) under uncultured bacterium. Its description in RNAcentral is "partial 16S ribosomal RNA". It matches the Rfam family "Bacterial small subunit ribosomal RNA", at positions 28 to 507 of the family's 1533-position model. The record is from RNAcentral.
AUUGAACGCUGGCGGCAGGCCUAACACAUGCAAGUCGAGCGGAUGAAGGGAGCUUGCUCCUGGAUUCAGCGGCGGACGGGUGAGUAAUGCCUAGGAAUCUGCCUGGUAGUGGGGUAUAACGUCUGGAAACGGCCGCUAAUACCACAUACUUCCUGCGGGAGAAGGUGGGGGGUCUUCGGACCUCACGCUCUGAGAUGGGCCUAGGCGGGAUUUGUUAGUUGGUGGGGUAAGGGCUUACCAGGGAGACGAUCGGUAACUGGCCGGCUAGGAGGAUCGGUCGCACUGGAACGGGGACGCGGACCAGGCGCCUACGGGAGGGAGCAGUGGGGAAUAGUGGACAGUGGGCGAAAGCCUGGUCCAGCCAGGCCGCGUGUGUGAAGAAGGUCUUCGGAUUGUAAAGCACGUUAAGUGGGGAGGAAGGGCAGUAAGUUAAUACCUUGCUGUUUUGACGUUACCAACAGAAUAAGCACCGGCUAACUUCGUG